GUGUCAGCAGCCGCGGUAAUACGAAGGGGGCUAGCGUUGUUCGGAAUUACUGGGCGUAAAGGGCGCGUAGGCGGUACUUCAAGUCAGGCGUGAAAGCCCCGGGCUCAACCUGGGAACCGCGCUUGAGACUGGAGAACUAGAGUUCGGGAGAGGAUGGUGGAAUUCCCAGUGUAGAGGUGAAAUUCGUAGAUAUUGGGAAGAACACCGAUGGCGAAGGCAGCCAUCUGGACCGACACUGACGCUGAGGCGCGAAAGCGUGGGGAGCAAACAGGAUUAGAUACCCUGGUAGUCCACGCCGUAAACGAUGAGUGCUAGACGUUGGGGCCCUUAGGGCUUCGGUGUCGCAGCUAACGCAUUAAGCACUCCGCCUGGGGAGUACGGCCGCAAGGUUAAA
RNAcentral lists this ribosomal RNA (394 nucleotides) under uncultured bacterium. RNAcentral's name for it is "bacterial SSU rRNA". It matches the Rfam family "Bacterial small subunit ribosomal RNA", at positions 505 to 898 of the family's 1533-position model. The record is from RNAcentral.